RNAcentral lists this ribosomal RNA (303 nucleotides) under uncultured bacterium. Its description in RNAcentral is "bacterial SSU rRNA". It matches the Rfam family "Bacterial small subunit ribosomal RNA", at positions 355 to 656 of the family's 1533-position model. The record is from RNAcentral.
UGAGGAAUAUUGGUCAAUGGGCGGGAGCCUGAACCAGCCAAGCCGCGUGAGGGAAUAAGGCCCUAUGGGUCGUAAACCUCUUUUGUCGGGGAACAAAAGCGGGGACGUGUCCCCGUCUGCGUGUACCCGAAGAAAAAGCAUCGGCUAACUCCGUGCCAGCAGCCGCGGUAAUACGGAGGAUGCGAGCGUUAUCCGGAUUUAUUGGGUUUAAAGGGUGCGUAGGCGGUAUGGUAAGUCAGCGGUAAAAGCCCGGGGCUCAACCCCGGCGAGCCGUUGAAACUGCCGUGCUAGAGAGGAAGAGAA